Molecule: long non-coding RNA, 2962 nt
Filed under: Salmo salar (Atlantic salmon)
Lineage: Eukaryota; Metazoa; Chordata; Actinopteri; Salmoniformes; Salmonidae
Description: lncRNA (ENSSSAG00000107076.1)
Source: RNAcentral
AGAGUAUCCUGAGAGAGCCAUGUUUCCAUGAAACAAAGUAUGUUACCGGCCCGAUGUCUCUCUGGAAAGAAAUCCUUGCUCUAAGCUCAUCAACUUUGUUAUCAAAAGACUGAACAUUUCCAAGUAAUAUACUCGGAAGCCGUGGGUGGUGUGCGUGCCUCCUAAGUUGAACCAGCAGGCCGCCUCGAGUGCCUCUCCUCUGCCGGCGAUGUUUUGGGGUGGCCUCUGGAAUAAGUUAAAUUGCUUUGGGGAGAGUGAACAAAGGAUCUGCUCCAGGGAAGUUGUAUUCCUGGUCAUAAUGCUGGUAGUUCUGUGAGCCCCAACUGUCCCUUUGGGAGAAGUAUGACGGCACUCCAUCGAAAUGCCGUGGCUUCCUACUCCAGUGAAUUCCCUGCUGUCCGGACGAGUGUGUGGAGUGGGCUACGGCCAUCUGGGAGAGAGAAGAGGAGGAGCUGGGUGCCUAUGAGAGGUUCAGGGCGGUCUACGACCAUCCUCCUGAGAGGGAGGUGAGCAAAUUUUCCAACUACAGCAGGGUUCCCAGACAGUUGAGGAGUAUGACCUCACCUUUCGGACUAUGGCAGCCUUCAGUGGAUGGAAUGAGGUGGCGCUCCUUACUCUAAUCAGCAGUGGACUGCGCAAAGAGGUCCAGAUGGAGUUGGGAUGACAACAUAUCCUUGGAUGCUCUCAUUGCAAUGGCCAUCCGUCUGGAUAACCUUCUUCGGGAGCAUCAGUGUCCAACUCACCCCCCCCCCCCCCCUUUGGCUGUUCUGAGGCAGAGCCUGAACCCAUAGAGGUAGGGGCCACACACUUCUCUGUAGCAGAGCGGCGUUGCUGGAGAUAGCUGGAGCUCUGCCCCUAUUGAGGCCAGGAGGGGUAUCAGCUUCAGUGGUGUUCGGUACGUCCUAACCCAUGGUCCACUAGAGCAGAAGGGCGGCCCUAUGAGCAGAAGGGCGGCCCUAUGAGCAGAAGGGCGGCCCUAUGAGCAGAAGGGCGGCCCUAUGAGCAGAAGGGCGGCCCUAUGAGCAGAAGGGCGGCCUUCCGUCUCUCAGUCUACCUACCUCUCUCCGGGUCGCUGAGGCACUAUUCGGGUUGGUUUUCUGGCACUAUGGCCUUCUGGAGGACAUCGUUUCCGACCAUGGUCCACCAAUUCACGUCGCAGGUCUGGAAAGCCUUUAUGGAGAAGCUGGGGGCCACGGUCAGCCUCACAUCCGGGUACCGGCCUAACGGGCAUGUGGAGAGGCCCAACCAAGAGCUGGGGGGGUUCCUAAGGAGUCACUGGCAGGGGGAGUGGGCCCGGUUCCUUCCCUGCACGGAAUACGCACAGAACUCACUUCGUUACUCCACCGAGCUGACUCCCUUCCAGUGCGUCCUGGGAUAUCAGCCGGCACUGGCUCUGUGGACUCUGAGCCAGACCGAGGCCCCUGCAGUUGACGAGUGGUGCAGAGGUGUGGAACACCACCAAUGUGAGGCUCCGGCGCGCCAUCCACUGUCAGAAGGAUUGGGCGAUCCGCCACUACAGUGAGGCGCCUGUGUUCCAUCCUGGUGAUCGCAUCUGACUCUACACCAGGAACCUCCCACUCCGCCUGCCCUGCCGGAAGCUGAGCCCCCAGUUUGUGGGGCCCUUCAAGGCCGGUGCUUCCUGGUCCCCUGGCUGAUGCUGUCCUCGCGACACCCCUCCACCUCCCCUGGACAUCGAAGGGACCCCCACCUAUACUAUUUGGUCCCUACUGGACUCCUCAACUCAUGGGAGUCGACUCCAGUACCUGGUGGACUAGGAGGGCUACGGUCCUGAGGAGAGCGCUCUUGGGUCCCUGUGGCGGUCAACCUCUGUUGCUCUAGGAUGCCCACAUGCCUUACAAGACUCGUCUGAAGGUCCCCGGGUACCAGUUGUGUGUGUGUGUGUGUGUGUGUGUGUGUAUAUAAAUGAGACUGUUUAGUGCCAAAAAUAAGGGGUUAAAUACAUGCAAAAACAAAUUUAACAAAUGCUUCCUGAACUUUAUUAUAUCUCUCAGAUAUAGGACAGACACUUCAGAACAAACUUUCCUUUUUAUUUAUUUUAGGGACUCUGUUCCACUCUAGUGAAUCUGUUAUUCAAUGUGUUUGUAUGGACUAAUGACGGUAAGGCCACUUGUUGUAUAUGGAAAAACAUUUUUUUUUUUUUUUUCAAAAUGAAAAAGCUAAAUGGUCCUUGGUGUGACCUUCUCAAAACAAUUACAUUUAAGUGAAUAAAUAUGUGAUAUUAUAUAUAUCGUUUUUAAACAACGAAGAUGGCUUGAUUGCGUAGGUCUUCAUACCCGAGGUAAUAAUAGGUGGAAACCCAUUUGGCAGCAACUUUACACAGGAUAGCUGUCUUUCAGGAUGCAUUUCUUGUGCUGUAUCCCAUAGUGCAGGGGUAUUAAUCUGGCCCUCAAGACCUGUAACACUUCUGGUUUUCAUUCUUCCCCUCUAAUCAAAUUUUAUUGGUCACAUACCCAUGUUUAGCAGAUGUUAUUGCGGUUGUAGCGACUGAUUUAGAAAUACCUAUAAUCUGUGCCUAAUAUACAGUGCCUUUGGAAUUUAUUCAGACUCCUUAGCCUUAUUCUAAAAUGUUUUAAAUUGUUUUUUUCUCAAUCUAUGCACAAUACCCGAUAAUGACAAAGCAAAAAUAAAUGUAGAAAUUGUUGCUAAUUUAUUACAUUUUAAAUGGAAAUAUCACAUUUACAUAAAUAUUCAGACCCUUUACUCAGUACUUUGUUGAAGCCCCCUUGGCAGCGAUUACAGCCUCGAGUCUUCUUGGGUAUGAUGCUACAAGCUUGGCACACCUGUAUUUGGGUAGUUUCUCCCAUUCUUCUCUGAAGAUCCUCUCAAGCCCUGUCAGGUUGGAUGGGGAGAGUUGCUGCACAGCUAUUUUCAGGUCUCUCCAGAGAUGUUCAACCGGGUUCGAGUCCGAGCUCUGGCUAGGUCAGUCAAGGACAUUCAGAGA